UACAGAGGUCUCAAGCGUUGUUCGGAUUUAUUGGGCGUAAAGAGCUCGUAGGCGGUCUGUUGCGUCUGCUGUGAAAACCCGGGGCUUAACCCCUGGCUUGCAGUGGAUACGGACAGACUAGAGGUAGGUAGGGGAGAAUGGAAUUCCCGGUGUAGCGGUGAAAUGCGCAGAUAUCGGGAGGAACACCGGUGGCGAAGGCGGUUCUCUGGGCCUUACCUGACGCUGAGGAGAGAAAGCGUGGGGAGCGAACAGG
This 253-nucleotide ribosomal RNA is filed under the name uncultured bacterium. RNAcentral's name for it is "partial 16S ribosomal RNA". It matches the Rfam family "Bacterial small subunit ribosomal RNA", at positions 524 to 776 of the family's 1533-position model. The record is from RNAcentral.